AUCUUGCGCAAUGGGCGAAAGCCUGACGCAGCGACGCCGCGUGAGUGAUGAAGGCCUUCGGGUUGUAAAGCUCUGUGGGGAGAGACGAAUAAGUGCAAGCUAAUACCUUGCAUGAUGACGGUAUCUCCUUAGCAAGCACCGGCUAACUCUGUGCCAGCAGCCGCGGUAAGACAGAGGGUGCAAACGUUGUUCGGAAUUACUGGGCGUAAAGCGAGUGUAGGCGGUUUCCUAAGUCAGGUGUGAAAGCCCCGGGCUCAACCCGGGAAGUGCACUUGAAACUGGGAGGCUAGAGUACUGGAGAGGUUGGUGGAAUUCUCGGUGUAGAGGUGAAAUUCGUAGAUAGCGAGAGGAACACCGGUGGCGAAGGCGGCCAACUGGACAGAUACUGACGCUGAGACUCGAAAGCGUGGGGAGCAAACA
This 420-nucleotide ribosomal RNA is filed under the name uncultured bacterium. RNAcentral's name for it is "bacterial SSU rRNA". It matches the Rfam family "Bacterial small subunit ribosomal RNA", at positions 361 to 774 of the family's 1533-position model. The record is from RNAcentral.